UACGGGGGGAGCAAGCGUUGUUCGGAUUUACUGGGCGUAAAGGGCGCGUAGGCGGCCAGCACAAGUCAGUUGUGAAAUCUCCGAGCUUAACUCGGAAAGGUCAACUGAUACUGUGCGGCUAGAGUGCGGAAGGGGCAACUGGAAUUCUUGGUGUAGCGGUGAAAUGCGUAGAUAUCAAGAGGAACACCUGCGGCGAAGGCGGGUUGCUGGGCCGACACUGACGCUGAGACACGAAAGCGUGGGUAGCAAACAGG
RNAcentral lists this ribosomal RNA (254 nucleotides) under uncultured bacterium. RNAcentral describes it as "partial 16S ribosomal RNA". It matches the Rfam family "Bacterial small subunit ribosomal RNA", at positions 524 to 776 of the family's 1533-position model. The record is from RNAcentral.